GAAAAUAGCUCAGUUGGUAGAGCACGACCUUGCCAAGGUCGGGGUCGCGGGUUCGAGUCCCGUUUUUC
This 68-nucleotide transfer RNA is filed under the name Odoribacter sp. CAG:788. Its description in RNAcentral is "transfer RNA-Gly(GCC)". It matches the Rfam family "tRNA". Rfam says of the family: Transfer RNA (tRNA) molecules are approximately 80 nucleotides in length. Their secondary structure includes four short double-helical elements and three loops (D, anti-codon, and T loops). Further hydrogen bonds mediate the characteristic L-shaped molecular structure. tRNAs have two regions of fundamental functional importance: the anti-codon, which is responsible for specific mRNA codon recognition, and the 3' end, to which the tRNAs corresponding amino acid is attached (by aminoacyl-tRNA synthetases). tRNAs cope with the degeneracy of the genetic code in two manners: having more than one tRNA (with a specific anti-codon) for a particular amino acid; and 'wobble' base-pairing, i.e. permitting non-standard base-pairing at the 3rd anti-codon position. Lineage: Bacteria; Pseudomonadati; Bacteroidota; Bacteroidia; Bacteroidales; Odoribacteraceae. The record is from RNAcentral.